GAGAUGAGAAGAACCUGGAAUCCAACUCCAGAAGGACAGGACGGAAAGAGCCUACUAACCACCUCUAGAAGGAGACUCCUGCACUCCAACCUACCUAACACCAGGACAAGCUUCUGCCAGGGAACAGGGUCUCCCCAUGUAGUUCGGGCUGGCCUUGAAAUGCUGCAUCCCCUUUGUGAAGAGAACGACCCACUCCGUGCAGUUCGGCGGCUCCCAGCCCAUGCGGCGGAAGGUUAGAUCCCGAUUCCGGUCCAGAAAUGUCUCUGGCUGCAGGAGCCAAGGGUGGUCGUUGCUGGACGCUCGGCUCCAAGCCUG
Molecule: long non-coding RNA, 315 nt
Organism: Fukomys damarensis (Damara mole-rat)
Lineage: Eukaryota; Metazoa; Chordata; Mammalia; Rodentia; Bathyergidae
Exons: 3
Source: RefSeq, a predicted model, not a curated record